GGGGUAACGGCCUACCAAGGCGAUGACGGGUAGCCGGCCUGAGAGGGCGACCGGCCACACUGGGACUGAGACACGGCCCAGACUCCUGCGGGAGGCAGCAGUGGGGAAUAUUGCGCAAUGGGCGGAAGCCUGACGCAGCGACGCCGCGUGGGGGAUGAAGGCCUUCGGGUUGUAAACCUCUUUUACCACUCACGAAGGCCCCUGGUUUUCUGGGGGUUGACGGUAGGUGGUGAAUAAGGACCGGCUAACUACGUGCCAGCAGCCGCGGUAAUACGUAGGGUCCGAGCGUUGUCCGGAAUUAUUGGGCGUAAAGAGCUCGUAGGCGGCCUGUCGCGUCUGCUGUGAAAGUCCGGGGCUUAACUCCGGGUGUGCAGUGGAUACGGGCAGGCUUGAGGUAGGUAGGGGAGACUGGAAUUCCUGGUGUAGCGGUGAAAUGCGCAGAUAUCAGGAGGAACACCGGUGGCGAAGGCGGGUCUCUGGGCCUUACCUGACGCUGAGGAGCGAAAGCGUGGGGAGCGAACAGGAUUAGAUACCCUGGUAGUCCACGCCGUAAACGUUGGGCGCUAGGUGUGGGGACUUUCCACG
RNAcentral lists this ribosomal RNA (585 nucleotides) under uncultured Actinomycetes bacterium. Its description in RNAcentral is "bacterial SSU rRNA". It matches the Rfam family "Bacterial small subunit ribosomal RNA", at positions 254 to 837 of the family's 1533-position model. Lineage: Bacteria; Bacillati; Actinomycetota; Actinomycetes. The record is from RNAcentral.